RNAcentral lists this ribosomal RNA (407 nucleotides) under uncultured bacterium. RNAcentral describes it as "partial 16S ribosomal RNA". It matches the Rfam family "Bacterial small subunit ribosomal RNA", at positions 28 to 526 of the family's 1533-position model. The record is from RNAcentral.
GAUGAACGCUAGCUAUAGGCUUAACACAUGCAAGUCGAGGGACCGGCGCACGGGUGAGUAACGCGUAUCCCACCUGCCCAUAACUAAGGGAUAACCCAGCGAAAGUUGGACUAAUACCUUAUGGUUAUGGCUGGGGAUGCGUUUGAUUAGUUUGUUGGCGGGGGAACGGCCCACCAAGGCAACGAUCAGUAGGGGUUCUGAUAGGAAGCCCCACCGCAUUGGAACUGAGGUACGGACCAAAAUGCUAGGAGAGGGAGCGGUAUGGAACAUUGGUGGAGGAGGGAGGACCUGAACCAGCCAAGUAGCGGGCAGGGUGACUGGCUAUGGGUUGUAAACUGCUGUUGUAGGAGGAUAGGUACCAUAAGAAUAAGGACCGGCUAAUUCCGUGCCAGCCGCCGCGGUAAUUC